This 630-nucleotide long non-coding RNA is filed under the name Meleagris gallopavo (turkey). RNAcentral's name for it is "lncRNA (ENSMGAG00000020929.1)". The record is from RNAcentral. Lineage: Eukaryota; Metazoa; Chordata; Aves; Galliformes; Phasianidae.
AUGGGCAUCCGCACCAAGAUGGAACCAGAGCAGGACACACGCCUGUCCUCAGCUCUCCAUCUGGUCUCCGUGCUCCCACAACAGCCCUGGGGACACAGGCAGCCCCACACAGCCAUGGAAAUGGCUGGCAGAGCAGCAACCCGAUGGACAGCCCAACACCAAUGGCUCCAGAUGCCCAAAAGUGAUGGAGCUCAGCCCUCCAAACUGCUGUUCACGCGCUACAAAGAAGGUGCUGGCACCACACCACCUGAUUGCAGUGGCCGUGUCAACAUGGCACUGGUGACCCAAACGGCCAAGGAAACCAUUUUCAGAGCAGCAACCCGAUGGGCAUCCGCACCAAGAUGGAACCAGAGCAGGACACACGCCUGUCCUCAGCUCUCCAUCUGGUCUCCGUGCCCCCAGGACAGCCCUGGGGACACAGGCAGCCCCACACAGCCAUGGAAAUGGCUGGCAGAGCAGCAACCCGGUGAGCAGGGCUGUGCAGGGGAGUUCAGCACAGGGCAGCAGGGCAGGAGGCUGCUCCUUCCUUCCUUCCUCUCCCUCUGCCUUGCAGAAGGACAGCCCAACAGCCUGCCAGCACCUUCAGUGCUGCACACAUCAGCGCCUCCAGGAACCACAAGGAUGGUGUGA